RNAcentral lists this ribosomal RNA (468 nucleotides) under uncultured bacterium. Its description in RNAcentral is "partial 16S ribosomal RNA". It matches the Rfam family "Bacterial small subunit ribosomal RNA", at positions 28 to 507 of the family's 1533-position model. The record is from RNAcentral.
GACGAACGCUGGCGGCGUGCUUAACACAUGCAAGUCGAACGGAAAGGCCAUGCUUUUGUGGGGUGCUCGAGUGGCGAACGGGUGAGUAACACGUGAGUAACCUGCCCUUGACUUUGGGAUAACUUCAGGAAACUGGGGCUAAUACCGGAUAGGAGCUCCUGCUGCAUGGUGGGGGUUGGAAAGUUUCGGCGGUUGGGGAUGGACUCGCGGCUUAUCAGCUUGUUGGUGGGGUAGUGGCUUACCAAGGCUUUGACGGGUAGCCGGCCUGAGAGGGUGACCGGCCACAUUGGUACUGAGAUACGGCCCAGACUCCUACGGGAGGCAGCAGUGGGGAAUAUUGCACAAUGGGCGGAAGCCUGAUGCAGCAACGCCGCGUGCGGGAUGACGGCCUUCGGGUUGUAAACCGCUUUCGCCUGUGACGAAGCGUGAGUGACGGUAAUGGGUAAAGAAGCACCGGCUAACUACGUG